CGUAGCUCAGUUGGAUAGAGCGUCUGGCUACGAACCAGAAGGUCGGGAGUUCGAAUCUCUCCGGGCGCACCA
RNAcentral lists this transfer RNA (72 nucleotides) under Terriglobia bacterium. Its description in RNAcentral is "Solibacteres bacterium tRNA-Arg". It matches the Rfam family "tRNA". From Rfam's summary of the family: Transfer RNA (tRNA) molecules are approximately 80 nucleotides in length. Their secondary structure includes four short double-helical elements and three loops (D, anti-codon, and T loops). Lineage: Bacteria; Pseudomonadati; Acidobacteriota; Terriglobia. The record is from RNAcentral.